This 266-nucleotide long non-coding RNA is filed under the name Hordeum vulgare. Its description in RNAcentral is "long non-coding RNA (HVUL_LNC012343)". The record is from RNAcentral. Lineage: Eukaryota; Viridiplantae; Streptophyta; Magnoliopsida; Poales; Poaceae.
GUAAUUAGUUAAUCUUAGUUAGUUUUCCGCUCCACUCAAUUUCAUGUAUGUUACAUUCAAACCGUUUUGAAUUUUAGGCAGAAGAAAAGUGCUGCUAUCUAGAGUGGAUAGACCCUGAGUGGUCAGUUGCUAUGCAGUUUUGCAUAGGUCAAUUGUGGAGCAUGCAUGACAAAGAAAACGAGGACAAAAUCAGAGAUAAUCUAAAGCUGGGUGAAGAAAAUUUCAAAAUAGUUGGAGAAAAGAGGAGGAUGGAGGAAGAGCUUCGU